RNAcentral lists this ribosomal RNA (1460 nucleotides) under Lacticaseibacillus rhamnosus. RNAcentral describes it as "bacterial SSU rRNA". It matches the Rfam family "Bacterial small subunit ribosomal RNA". The record is from RNAcentral. Lineage: Bacteria; Bacillati; Bacillota; Bacilli; Lactobacillales; Lactobacillaceae.
CCUAAUACAUGCAAGUCGAACGAGUUCUGAUUAUUGAAAGGUGCUUGCAUCUUGAUUUAAUUUUGAACGAGUGGCGGACGGGUGAGUAACACGUGGGUAACCUGCCCUUAAGUGGGGGAUAACAUUUGGAAACAGAUGCUAAUACCGCAUAAAUCCAAGAACCGCAUGGUUCUUGGCUGAAAGAUGGCGUAAGCUAUCGCUUUUGGAUGGACCCGCGGCGUAUUAGCUAGUUGGUGAGGUAACGGCUCACCAAGGCAAUGAUACGUAGCCGAACUGAGAGGUUGAUCGGCCACAUUGGGACUGAGACACGGCCCAAACUCCUACGGGAAGCAGCAGUAGGGAAUCUUCCACAAUGGACGCAAGUCUGAUGGAGCAACGCCGCGUGAGUGAAGAAGGCUUUCGGGUCGUAAAACUCUGUUGUUGGAGAAGAAUGGUCGGCAGAGUAACUGUUGUCGGCGUGACGGUAUCCAACCAGAAAGCCACGGCUAACUACGUGCCAGCAGCCGCGGUAAUACGUAGGUGGCAAGCGUUAUCCGGAUUUAUUGGGCGUAAAGCGAGCGCAGGCGGUUUUUUAAGUCUGAUGUGAAAGCCCUCGGCUUAACCGAGGAAGUGCAUCGGAAACUGGGAAACUUGAGUGCAGAAGAGGACAGUGGAACUCCAUGUGUAGCGGUGAAAUGCGUAGAUAUAUGGAAGAACACCAGUGGCGAAGGCGGCUGUCUGGUCUGUAACUGACGCUGAGGCUCGAAAGCAUGGGUAGCGAACAGGAUUAGAUACCCUGGUAGUCCAUGCCGUAAACGAUGAAUGCUAGGUGUUGGAGGGUUUCCGCCCUUCAGUGCCGCAGCUAACGCAUUAAGCAUUCCGCCUGGGGAGUACGACCGCAAGGUUGAAACUCAAAGGAAUUGACGGGGGCCCGCACAAGCGGUGGAGCAUGUGGUUUAAUUCGAAGCAACGCGAAGAACCUUACCAGGUCUUGACAUCUUUUGAUCACCUGAGAGAUCAGGUUUCCCCUUCGGGGGCAAAAUGACAGGUGGGUGCAUGGUUGUCGUCAGCUCGUGUCGUGAGAUGUUGGGGUUAAGUCCCGCAACGAGCGCAACCCUUAUGACUAGUUGCCAGCAUUUAGUUGGGCACUCUAGUAAGACUGCCGGUGACAAACCGGAGGAAGGUGGGGAUGACGUCAAAUCAUCAUGCCCCUUAUGACCUGGGCUACACACGUGCUACAAUGGAUGGUACAACGAGUUGCGAGACCGCGAGGUCAAGCUAAUCUCUUAAAGCCAUUCUCAGUUCGGACUGUAGGCUGCAACUCGCCUACACGAAGUCGGAAUCGCUAGUAAUCGCGGAUCAGCACGCCGCGGUGAAUACGUUCCCGGGCCUUGUACACACCGCCCGUCACACCAUGAGAGUUUGUAACACCCGAAGCCGGUGGCGUAACCCUUUUAGGGAGCGAGCCGUCUAAGGUGGAC